This 164-nucleotide ribosomal RNA is filed under the name uncultured bacterium. RNAcentral describes it as "partial 16S rRNA". It matches the Rfam family "Bacterial small subunit ribosomal RNA", at positions 355 to 511 of the family's 1533-position model. The record is from RNAcentral.
UAGGGAAUCUUCCACAAUGGACGCAAGUCUGAUGGAGCAACGCCGCGUGAGUGAAGAAGGGUUCCGGCUCGUAAAGCUCUGUUGUUAAAGAAGAACGUGGGUAAGAGUAACUGUUUACCCAGUGACGGUAUUUAACCAGAAAGCCACGGCUAACUACGUGCCGG